GGCGGUUCUCAGGUGAUGCACCCCAGAAUCGGGCUCCCUCCUCUCUGGUUCUGGGUGCGUCACCUGAGAACUGCA
This is a non-coding RNA of Myotis brandtii (Brandt's bat), 75 nucleotides long. NCBI's taxonomy places the organism in Eukaryota, Metazoa, Chordata, Mammalia, Chiroptera, Vespertilionidae. The record is from Rfam.